Molecule: long non-coding RNA, 239 nt
Organism: Mytilus californianus (California mussel)
Lineage: Eukaryota; Metazoa; Mollusca; Bivalvia; Mytilida; Mytilidae
Exons: 4
Source: RefSeq, a predicted model, not a curated record
GUUACUACUGGAGAUGGACCUCCAGUUCCAGAAGGUGGACCAGUGCUUACAACUGGAGAUGGUGUUCCUGUUGCAGAAGGUAGACUUGUGGUUAAUACUGAAGAUGGACCUCCAGUUGCAGAAGGUGGACCAGUGCUUACAACUGGAGAUGGUGUUCCUGUUGCAGAAGGCUGACUUGUGGUUAUUGCUGGAGAUGGUCCUCCAGUUGCAGAAGGUGGACCAGUGCUAACAACCGGAGA